This 360-nucleotide ribosomal RNA is filed under the name uncultured organism. RNAcentral describes it as "bacterial SSU rRNA". It matches the Rfam family "Bacterial small subunit ribosomal RNA", at positions 45 to 433 of the family's 1533-position model. The record is from RNAcentral.
GGCCUAACACAUGCAAGUCGAACGGAUCCUUCGGGAUUAGUGGCGGACGGGUGAGUAACACGUGGGAACGUACCUUUUGGCUCGGGAUAGCUUCUGGAAACGGAAAUUAAUACCGAAUGUGCCCUUAGGGGGAAAGAUUUAUCGCCAUUAGAGCGGCCCGCGUCUGAUUAGCUAGUUGGUGGGGUAAAGGCUCACCAAGGCUACGAUCAGUAGCUGGUCUGAGAGGAUGAUCAGCCACAUUGGGACUGAGACACGGCCCAAACUCCUACGGGAGGCAGCAGUGGGGAAUCUUGCGCAAUGGGGGAAACCCUGACGAAGCGACGCCGCGUGAAGGACGAAGGCCUUCGGGUUGUAAACUUC